CGGAUCGCAGGCUGNAACCCGCCUGCGUGAAGUUGGAAUCGCUAGUAAUCGCGGAUCAGCAUGCCGCGGUGAAUACGUUCCCGGGCCUUGUACACACCGCCCGUCACACCAUGAGAGUCGGGAACACCCGAAGUCCGUAGCCUAACCGCAAGGGGGCGCGGCCGAAGGUGGGUUCGAUAAUUGGGGUGAAGUCGUAACAAGGUAGC
Molecule: ribosomal RNA, 206 nt
Filed under: uncultured bacterium
Lineage: Bacteria
Description: partial 16S ribosomal RNA
Rfam family: Bacterial small subunit ribosomal RNA
Source: RNAcentral